GGCCAGACUCCUACGGGAGGCAGCAGUAGGGAAUUUUGCGCAAUGGGGGAAACCCUGACGCAGCAACGCCGCGUGAUUGAUGAAGCCCUUCGGGGUGUAAAGAUCUGUCAGUGGGGACGAAACUUGACGGUACCCACAGAGGAAGCAUCGGCUAACUCCGUGCCAGCAGCCGCGGUAAUACGGGGGAUGCAAGCGUUGUCCGGAAUCAUUGGGCGUAAAGAGUUCGUAGGUGGCACGUUAAGUCUGGUGUUAAAUGCAGAGGCUCAACCUCUGUUCGGCACUGGAUACUGGCGAGCUUGAAUGCGGUAGAGGUAAAGGGAAUUCCUGGUGUAGCGGUGAAAUGCUUAGAUAUCACGAAGAACUCCGAUUGCGAAGGCAGCUUACUAAACUGCCACUGACAUUGAUGCUCGAAAGUGUGGGUAUCAAACAGGAUUAGAUACCCGAGUAAUU
RNAcentral lists this ribosomal RNA (450 nucleotides) under uncultured bacterium. RNAcentral describes it as "bacterial SSU rRNA". It matches the Rfam family "Bacterial small subunit ribosomal RNA", at positions 329 to 795 of the family's 1533-position model. The record is from RNAcentral.